AUGGACGUCGAUGAUGAUGUGGAGGACGAUGACAUGGAUUUCAACCCUUUAUAUAGGGAAGGAUCACCAUCCGAGACCUCGUCAAGCCUCACCUCAGAGGCAGAAUGCGAGGGAACUAGAUUUGAAAAUCAACCAAGCACUGAGGUGCUUCUUUGCAAUAGUUCUGGUAAUGGAAAUGCAGGUGAUUGUGUGCUUCCCAAAGAAAGUGUGUCAGCAAAAGGUGCCUCCAAAGUAAAUGUUCCAGAGAGCAGUUCUACCCACUUGCAUUGUGAGAAUAGAGAAGGCCAUGUUAAUGGAUUGGGAAAGGAACCCUUACGAACUGUAGCUUCCAUCUCUCCACCAGUACAGAAUACUCAUCCCCUGUUGCAUGAAGGCACCGAGGAAGAUGCAAUCUGCAGGCGGACACGGGCAAGAUACUCUCUGGCAAAUUACGCACUCGACGAGUUAGAGACCUUUCUCCAGGAAUCUGACGAUGAUGGUGACCUGCAGAAUGUUGACGAGGAAGAGGAAUACCGCAAGUUUCUUUCAGCUGUCCUGUCUGGUGGAGGCGAUGGCACACAGGCUUGCCAGGGGGAUGAAGCCCAGGAUGAAGAUGAGAAUGAUGCGGACUUUGAGCUCGAAAUUGAGGAGGCCCUGGAAAGUGAUGGCGGUGAAAAUGUCGAGAAUGAUAAGAGCAUAAAUGGUAGGAAUAAGAAAGAUGGUCAUAGGCCUCAGACUAGGAAGAAGAGACCCGAGUUGUCUAGGGCAAUCAAUCAUCAACAGGAAUCAACUAAACCUAAUUUGCGACCGAUUGUGCCAAAUAUCUCAACUAUACCCCAGGUUCCUGGGCAGUAUCCAUCCCAGAACAUCAAUAUCCCUUCCUCAUCAUCAUCAGCAACUGGUGCUGCUGUAGUGAAGGGGUUUACUGAUGAGCAACUUGGCCAAUUGCAUAUUUUGAUAUAUGAACAUGUUCAGCUCAUGAUCCAAACCUUCUCUCUAUGCGUGCUCGACCCAUCUAAACAGCGUGUGGCUGCUGAUGUUAAAAAAAUGAUAGUUGAGUUGGUUGGCUACCGUGAUCAAGCAUUGGCUAGGAAAAACACUAUUCGUCAACAAUUCUAUUUCGAAGGGCAGCAUCUUCGGUCAGCAAUUAGUCAUGCUUCUUCUGAGAGCUCGCAAUGCCAAUGGAUUCCAUUAAUUAAGAAUCCUGUUAUGUCCAUCCUUGAUGUAUCGCCACUUCAUUUGGCCCUCAGCUAUUUAAGUGAUGUUGCAGGCGCUGUUGUGAAGUAUAGAAAAAGCCAUGUGGAUGGCACUCCAGAGAGGAUCCGCUUUAGGAAAGAACCUCUUUUUCCAUCACCUGUACUUAGCACUGGCAGAGAUGCUAACAAUAUUUCUCAAGACAGACCAAAUAAUGUGUCCACAUCAACGCCAGCUUCACCUGGCCAGUCACAGCCCAAGAAAUCAUUAGCUGCUACCCUUUUUGAGAGUACUAAAAAGGAGUCGGUUGCUCUUGUUCCAUUUGAUAUUGCAAGAUUGGCGCAGAGAUUUUAUCCACUAUUCAAUUUUUCGCUGUUUCCUCAUAAGCCACCUCCCGCAGCUAUGGUCAGUAGACUGCUUUUCACUGAUGCAGAGGACGGGUUAUUAGCUCUAGGACUUCUGGAAUAUAAUAAUGACUGGGAAGCGAUACAAAAGCGUUUUCUUCCUUGCAAAUCAACGCAUCAGAUAUUUGUGAGACAGAAGAACCGCAGCUCAGCGAAAGCUACUGACAAUCCAGUCAAGGAUGUGCGCCGUAUGAAGAAUUCUCCAUUGAGUAGUGAGGAAGUGCAGCGUAUCGAAGAGGUGGUUAUAUCUGUCUCUGCAGACUAUCUUCUGUUCCCUGUUGAAUUGUUUGUUGUGCCAUACAGAGAUCCUUCGCUGCUCCAGCGUCAGUGGAGAGUUGCCAAUGGAGUCCAGCGAUCUUACAGUAAAAGUGAGGCUUUGAAAGCAAAGAGAAGAACAUAUGAAGCGAAGAGGAGGCAAUUAAAAGCUUCCAUGGCUGAUUCACAAGUAGGUCGUGAGCAGGAGACUGAUAAUGAUGCUUUUGAGGAUGUUGAAAAUGAUGAUGAUGAUGAUGAUGAUGGUGAUGGUGAUGAUCCGUAUGUCAAUGAAGCAUUUUUAGCGGACACAGAGAAUAGGAGCAUGAAUAUGAUGCAAACGGGCACCAGCCUCAAUGAUGAAUGUGGUUCUGCAUAUGGCCGCUUUGAGCAGCAUAAUAGAAAUGGUAUGCGCCAUGGUGUCGGCGCUGCAUAUAUACCUUUUAGCUCUUGUGCUUCUGAUGGUCCUUCAACUAAAAGGGUGUUUGGUGUGACUUUGGAUGAACCGCAAGCUUCACAAUUGUCUAAAGAGAAAGGUAGCCAUGUCGUCAAGUUGGCCCCAGAUUUGCCUCCUGUAAACCUUCCUCCUUCUGUCCGUGUGAUAUCUCAGAUGGAAUUUCAUCAGAAUGCCGCGCAGGAUCUGUUUCCUGUGCCACCUCCAACCUUUACAGAAUGUGUUUAUACACAGCUAAAUCUUUUCCCUCAUCAUAGUACUACUGACAGAUCACAACAACAUGGGCAUGAUGCACGUUCGAUGGAAGAUGGCGCUGAGCAAGAUUUUCAAAUGCAUCCUUUGCUUUUUCAGCAUCCUCGAGAAGUGCUUUCGUCACAUAGCCAUUUGGUUCAAAAUCUUACUAGUCAUUCAAGAAAUUAUAAUCUUUUCCCUUUUGAGAAAGUUCAAGUUGAGAAAAGUAAUAAGCAGACUACAGAUUGCAUGGAAAGAGCUCCUGUCAAUGCUAAUACCAUCGACUUCCAUCCUCUGCUGCAAAGAUCUGAAGCUGAGAUGCAUGUGGAAGUACCGGAAGAGGACUGUCAUCCACUUUCUAAUCAAUCUGACGGUCGUAUUAGGGAACCUCCAGUGGAUGACCAGUCAACAGUUAGGGAAGCGUCGACAAGCGAAAGAGAGAACGGUGUUGAUAUGCAAGAAUCCACAAGCCCUUGUGAGAGGGAUAACAACAUUGAUUUGGACAUUCAUUUAUGUUCCUCAGUGGAUUUUAGGAUUGCAAAGGAUUUGAGAAGUACUCCUAGUAAAUCCAGAAUUCAGCCAGAAAGGCCUGUGAAGGACAGAGCUAGUAUUUCGAAUUCACAGCCUGGAAAUGCUAGUCCUCAUCAUGACACUGAAGGGCCUGGUGAGGAAACAAUGCAAGGCAUUGUAAUGGAACAAGAAGAAUUAAGUGAUUCCGAGGAAGAGAGCCAGCAUGUUGAGUUUGAAUGUGAGGAAAUGGAUGAUUCUGAAGAUGAGCAAGUUCAGGGCACAGAACCAUGUUCGACUACAAACAAGGGAACUUCAACAUCAAUUGUUUGUUCAGAGGUGCAAGAAAAUAAUGACCAGUGUCAAACCCAACAAGGAUUAAAACAGGUGGCUAAGCAGGGUGUGGGUUCAAAACGGAAAUCCCGUGGGUCUUCUAGUGCAAGGCCGGUUAGAGCAAAGUCGAAGCCAACGGAUGCAGAUGCAGAAAAGCACACAGGAACUAGAAGAAGCCGACGGAUAUCCAAGUCCAGGUCUCGAGCAAGUGAAUCUAGCCAGGCCAAAAUGCCGGAAGAGGCAGGUCCUGAACACAAGUCCAGGGAGUCAAGAAGGUCUAGAAAGAGUCCUGCCCCUAGUUAA
RNAcentral lists this ribosomal RNA (3657 nucleotides) under Triticum aestivum (bread wheat). RNAcentral describes it as "partial small subunit ribosomal RNA". The record is from RNAcentral. Lineage: Eukaryota; Viridiplantae; Streptophyta; Magnoliopsida; Poales; Poaceae.